UUCUGUUCUUUUUGUUCUUCUUUUUUUGUUUGAUUGCUUCUGUAACUUUGCUAACAGGUUAAAUCAAGGGUACCGUGUCGUUCAUUGAUUCAAUUGAAGGGUUUCCGCAUAAGUUCUUUUUUUGUUUUUUGUCGGUUCGUUUGAUUUCAUCUUUUCCUUAUGAGAUUGAAUGCUACGGUUAGUCAUUCCAAACUUUUGUUAAUC
RNAcentral lists this long non-coding RNA (204 nucleotides) under Gossypium raimondii (Peruvian cotton). RNAcentral describes it as "long non-coding RNA (GRAI_LNC005573)". Lineage: Eukaryota; Viridiplantae; Streptophyta; Magnoliopsida; Malvales; Malvaceae. The record is from RNAcentral.